AUAACGAGGAGACCACCACAGACCUUCAAGAACAACCCUCCUGACACCUUCAUUUUCAUUGCACGUUUAAAAAAAAUAAACAGGCAUGGUCACGUGGAAACCUGGAGCCUAUCCCAGGGAGCAUGGGGCACAAGGCAGGGUACACCCUGGACAGGGUACCAAUCAAUCAAGUGUCGUCCGGUGUCAGCUGUGUCCCAGUAUUCCUGCCAUGUUUUAUGUGUGUGUCCCUUUAUAAUGGUUUUGAUCUCUGCUCUACUUAAUGGUACUUGUAUAGCAACUGUUUCAUGCUUUACUUUCAUGGUACUUGUAUAUCAACUGUUUCGAUCUUUUUGCCAGUACAUCCACAAACAUAAUGACAUCUUUUACAAAACAAAUAUUUUCACAACAGUGUAAUGUUUUCAAUAUCAUUUACAAAAUCAUUAAAUAUUAGUGCUUGUAUUCUGUGCUUUAGUUAGUUUUAUACACACACACACACACACGCACACACACACACACACACACACACGUGUGUUUGUCAUUAAAGCUGCCUAUAAAACACUAGCAAAAUGUAGGGGUAAUGUUAUGACUCAGGAGAAGAAGAAGGAUGAUAUUAAGGUCCAGGGAUGGUUUGUAACAAUGCACUUUAUUUAUAUUUUUACAUAUGGAGUUUUGCAACACUAAUGACGUAACAACGCCUCGUUUGCAGAAAUCACGUGUCUUGCCCAAUUUGAUUCACGCUCCUACCGAAUUGUCUUUGGGGAAUGUCGUUCUUAAAGUGUUGGAUUUUUCACUAACGCAUCUAUUGGCAGACUGGCGAGCCUCAGGAUCAGGCAUUUUUUUGGAGGCUACUUAUACUAUGAUUACUUAUUAUGAUUAGACUAUUGCCUCACCUGUUUCACAUCACCUUCUUAUUUCAACUUGUCACAUCACUAUUAGUCUUAAAUUGCCCCUGUCCCAACUUUUUUGUAACAUGUUGUGUGCAUCAAUUUUAAAAUAAAUGUUUACCUUCAAAAAACUAUGCAGUUGAUUAGGUAAGACAUCAGAUACCUUGUCUUUAUACGUUUUUUUUUUUUUUUUUAUACAAGUCAAAGUACAUUUACAAAUCACUCCUCUUUGUUUUUAUUAGCAUUUUCCAUACUGCCCCAACUUUUUCGGAAUUGGGAUUGUAAUUAACAAACAGGCUAAACAGAUUACACUGUCACCCUUGGAAAUUAGUUUCCCCAGUAUAUUCCAACUCAUGUACGAUUA
This is a long non-coding RNA of Ictalurus furcatus (blue catfish), 1227 nucleotides long. RefSeq lists it as uncharacterized. The record is from RefSeq and is a predicted model, not a curated record. Lineage: Eukaryota; Metazoa; Chordata; Actinopteri; Siluriformes; Ictaluridae. The transcript is spliced from 3 exons.